This 440-nucleotide ribosomal RNA is filed under the name uncultured bacterium. Its description in RNAcentral is "partial 16S ribosomal RNA". It matches the Rfam family "Bacterial small subunit ribosomal RNA", at positions 338 to 795 of the family's 1533-position model. The record is from RNAcentral.
CCUACGGGCGUCAGCAGUGGGGAAUAUUGCACAAUGUGGGAAACCCUGAUGCAGCGACGCCGCGUGAGUGAAGAAGUAAUUCGUUAUGUAAAGCUCUAUCAGCAGGGAAGAAAAUGACGGUACCUGAGUAAGAAGCCCCGGCUAACUACGUGCCAGCAGCCGAGGUAAUACGUAAGGGUCAAGCGUUAUCCGGAUUUACUGGGUGGAAAGGGAGCGUAGACGGCAGUGCAAGUCUGGAGUGAAAGGCGGGGGCUCAACCCCCGGACUGCUCUGGAACAUGUACGGCUGGAGUGCAGGAGAGGUAAGUGGAAUUCCUAGUGUAGCGGUGAAAUGCGUAGAUAUUAGGAGGAACACCAGUGGCGAAGGCGGCUUACUGGACUGUAACUGACGUUGAGGCUCGAAAGCGUGGGGAGCAAACAGGAUUAGAUACCCCUGUAGUC